This 595-nucleotide transfer RNA is filed under the name uncultured Chloroflexota bacterium. RNAcentral's name for it is "uncultured Chloroflexi bacterium 16S-23S ribosomal RNA intergenic spacer". The stretch from base 251 to 323 matches the Rfam family "tRNA". Lineage: Bacteria; Bacillati; Chloroflexota. The record is from RNAcentral.
CUAGGGAUUUACGAAUCUUGUACGAACGCUCUAUAUGACGUAGUACAGGGUUCUACCCUCAAAAAUCGUCUAUGCGUGUGCAUGACGUCUCCUUCUAACGAAGGGGUUAGUAUGAAUGAUGAGCGUUUCCUAUCACUUUUAAGUUGUCAAGGUCCUGGGCUUGUAGCUCAGCUGGUUAGAGCACUGUGCUGAUAACGCAGGGGUCAGUGGUUCGAGUCCACUCAGGCCCACUUCCCCUGAGGAAUAGCUUGGGGAUGUAGCUCAGAUGGGAGAGCGCCGCCUUUGCAAGGCGGAAGUCAGGGGUUCGAGUCCCCUCAUCUCCAUCUGUGAGAAUAUAAGAUAUAACAUAAUAAGAAAGAAGCGCAGAUGUAUGGGUGAACCACACAGAUCGCUGAAUAAAAAAAUAACACAAUUAAUUUGAAUUUCGAUCUUUGCUUUUAUUGAAAGAUAAAGGUAAAGAUCGGCAGUCAAAUGUCGAAAUAGAACCUUAAUAAUUGAAUAAUCUUACAGUAACGAGCAUGGAGCUAUGUUAUAAAACAUAGUUCAUUUCAAUUUUUACAUGGAAAUAAGAAAAGUAUCAAGUUCUCCGUGUCAA